This is a long non-coding RNA of Hemiscyllium ocellatum (epaulette shark), 1463 nucleotides long. RefSeq lists it as uncharacterized. The transcript has 4 exons. Lineage: Eukaryota; Metazoa; Chordata; Chondrichthyes; Orectolobiformes; Hemiscylliidae. The record is from RefSeq and is a predicted model, not a curated record.
GCGGCGGGAAGCAGCCUCAGGAUCCAUCAGAAAAAAAAAGUUUUUUAAAAAAAUACUCAUUUAUGUCUGGCUCCAAAAAAUAUCUACUUUUGCUCUUGUCUGGAAAAGUGGGAAAAGUAAAGUGUUGAUGCUGAGUGGUUCCUUCAGAAGUUACGCAACCGUGUUAACUGACCUAGAGGGUGGAAUCUUAUAGGGAUGUGAAAGAUGUGGUUUAUGGCAAAAAAGCUGUUAGAAUCAUGCAAGUGCAGCCAGACCCAUUUCGACAGUGGGAACGACUUGCUAUACCUUUUAACUAAGUUCCAGGCAUCAAGGUGGAAUUCUCACGAGGUAUUGCAAAACUGCCAAACGAGCUAGAUGCCAAGAAUUCUCAACAAGGGUUCUUCAGGAUAGUGUCCAAGACCCAAUCAUCUUCAGCUGCUUCAUCAAUGACCAUCAUCAGGUCAGAUGUGGGGAUGUUUAUUGAUGAGUGUACAAUAUUCAGCACCAUUUGCAAUUCCAGAUACUGAAGCAGUCCAUGUCCAAAUACAGCAAGACCUGGACAAUAUCCAGACUUGAGCUGAUACAUAGUGAGUGCCACACAAAUGCCAGGCAACGACCAUCUCCAGUAAGAGACAAUCUAAUUAUCACCUUUUUAAAUUCUAUGACAUUUUCAUCACUAAGCUCCCUACUAUCAACAUCCUGAGGAUUUACCAUUGACCAGAAACUCAACUGGACUAGCCAUAAAAAUAACGGCUACAAGAGCAGGUCAGAGACUUGGAACAUCAGCAAGUAACUCAACUCCUGAUUACCCAAAGCCUCUCUAACAUCUGCAAAGCACAAGCCUGAUGUAUGAUGGAAUACUCCCCACUUGCUUCCAUGAGUGCAACUCCUACUUGAAACCAUCCAUGACAAAGCUGCCUGAUUGACUGACUGCAUCCACAAACAUUCAAUCCCUCAAUCACUGUAGGAACAGUGUGAACUAUCUACAAGAUGCACAGCAGAAAUUUACCAAUGAUUCUUAGACGGCCCCUUUCAAACUCAUGACCGCUACCAUCAAGAAGGACAAGGGCUGCAUUGGAACACCAUCACCUGGGAGUUCCCCUUCAUGCCACUCACCAUCCUGAUUUAGAAAUAUAUCGUCAUUCCUUCAGUGUCAUUGGGUCAAAAUUCUGGAAUUCCUAUCGGCCCUGUGCAUCUACCUACAGACCAGAGACUGUAGCAGUUCGAGACAGCAGUUCACCACUACUUUCUCAAGGGCAACAAGAAUGGGUAAUAAAUGCUGGCCCAGCCAGUAACACCUAUGCUCCAUGAGUGAAUUGAAAAAAUAGCUCAUAAUUAGACGACUUUGGACUCAGUGUAGCAAUGUUGCAGUGAUCUCCCCUAAUCUUAAGCCACCAGUCAUUGGUACCCGAACUUAUAACAAUUACCUUUGAUGUAUAGUUUAUUUAAUUAUUUGUAAUAAAUACACUCUACAUUGUUUCUUA